RNAcentral lists this long non-coding RNA (606 nucleotides) under Elaeis guineensis (African oil palm). Its description in RNAcentral is "long non-coding RNA (EGUI_LNC078591)". The record is from RNAcentral. Lineage: Eukaryota; Viridiplantae; Streptophyta; Magnoliopsida; Arecales; Arecaceae.
AACUUUGCUUCUAUCUCCAACGUUCAGGAACCUCUCGCCUUCAUCAAAUCUCCUACUGACCUGCAGACCCUGCAUCGAAUUGCAAAUAUGAUAAGGGCUUCCGGUAUCCAAUACCCAGGCAGUAGUAUCACAAAUAAAAAAGUUGCAAGGUGUUAUCAUAUAAGUACCUUGCUUCUUCUUUGGCCUGUUCGGGUCCAGGGAGGCAAUAUAUAGAGGACAGUUCCUCUUUCAGUGCCCCUGCUUCUUGCAAAAGAAGCACUCCGCCUGGCUCUGGUCGGGCUUGCACUUCUUGGUCUGACCCUGUGCAGACGUUUCAGCAUGCAGCUGCACUUUCUUAUUCUUCUUCUUUUUGUUCUUCUUUCCUUUCUUAAAGGGUUGACGACCAGAAGAAGACCCUCCCACAACAUUCACCGACUCCUUAUGGAGCUGGUGAUCCUUUUCAAAGUUCUGCAGCAACCCCAACAAGCUGUGGUAGUUCACUGCAGGCUUUGUCAUUCGAAAAUGAGUAAGGGAAGGAAGGACUUGGACAGAGAAUUAAGGAUCGCAUCCUUACUGAGCUGCUCGUGCAGGGAAAAACCCAGUUUACUUAGGCGCUCAAUCAUUUCG